AUUGAACGCUGGCGGAAUGCUUUACACAUGCAAGUCGAACGGCGGCACGGGGGCAACCCUGGUGGCGAGUGGCGAACGGGUGAGUAAUACAUCGGAACGUGCCCGGUCGUGGGGGAUAACGUAGCGAAAGUUACGCUAAUACCGCAUACGAUCUGAGGAUGAAAGCGGGGGACCUUCGGGCCUCGCGCGAUCGGAGCGGCCGAUGUCAGAUUAGGUAGUUGGUGGGGUAAAGGCCUACCAAGCCGACGAUCUGUAGCUGGUCUGAGAGGACGACCAGCCACACUGGGACUGAGACGCGGCCCAGACUCCUACGGGAGGCAGCAGUGGGGAAUUUUGGACAAUGGGCGCAAGCCUGAUCCAGCCAUUCCGCGUGCAGGACGAAGGCCUUCGGGUUGUAAACUGCUUUUGUAUGGAACGAAAAGGCUCUGGCUAAUACCUGGGGCUCAUGACGGUACCGUAAGAAUAAGCACCGGCUAACUACGUG
RNAcentral lists this ribosomal RNA (484 nucleotides) under uncultured bacterium. Its description in RNAcentral is "partial 16S ribosomal RNA". It matches the Rfam family "Bacterial small subunit ribosomal RNA", at positions 30 to 507 of the family's 1533-position model. The record is from RNAcentral.